GGGGGUAUAGCUCAGUUGGUAGAGCGCUACAAUGGCAUUGUAGAGGCCAUCGGUUCGAAUCCGUUUACCUCCA
RNAcentral lists this transfer RNA (73 nucleotides) under Rhodothermales bacterium. RNAcentral's name for it is "tRNA-Ala". It matches the Rfam family "tRNA". From Rfam's summary of the family: Transfer RNA (tRNA) molecules are approximately 80 nucleotides in length. Their secondary structure includes four short double-helical elements and three loops (D, anti-codon, and T loops). RNAcentral also lists the same sequence under 2 other names. Lineage: Bacteria; Pseudomonadati; Rhodothermota; Rhodothermia; Rhodothermales. The record is from RNAcentral.